CCUACGGGAGGUAGCAGUGGGGAAUAUUGCACAAUGGGGGAAACCCUGAUGCAGCGACGCCGCGUGGGCGACGAAGCGCUCCGGCGCGUAAAGCCCUGUCAGCAGGGAAGAACAAAGACAGUACCUGACCAAGAAGCCCCGGCUAACUACGUGCCAGCAGCCGCGGUAAUACGUAGGGGGCAAGCGUUAUCCGGAAUUACUGGGUGUAAAGGGAGCGUAGACGGUAAUGCAAGUCUGGAGUGAAAGGCGGGGGCCCAACCCCCGGACGGCUCUGGAAACUGUGUAACUGGAGUGCAGGAGAGGCG
Molecule: ribosomal RNA, 305 nt
Filed under: uncultured bacterium
Lineage: Bacteria
Description: bacterial SSU rRNA
Rfam family: Bacterial small subunit ribosomal RNA
Source: RNAcentral